UCGAUUUGGAGUUUGUUGCCUAGAGUGAUGGGCUCCGAAGCUAACGCGAUAAAUCGACCGCCUGGGGAGUACGGCCGCAAGGUUAAAACUCAAAUGAAUUGACGGGGGCCCGCACAAGCGGUGGAGCAUGUGGUUUAAUUCGAUGCAACGCGAAGAACCUUACCUGGUCUUGACAUCCACAGAACCUUGCAGAGAUGUGAGAGUGCCUUCGGGAACUGUGAGACAGGUGCUGCAUGGCUGUCGUCAGCUCGUGUUGUGAAAUGUUGGGUUAAGUCCCGCAACGAGCGCAACCCUUAUCCUUUGUUGCCAUCGGUUAGGCCGGGAACUCAAAGGAGACUGCCGUUGAUAAAGCGGAGGAAGGUGGGGACGACGUCAAGUCAUCAUGGCCCUUACGACCAGGGCUACACACGUGCUACAAUGGCGUAUACAAAGGGAGGCGACCUCGCGAGAGCAAGCGGACCUCAUAAAGUACGUCUAAGUCCGGAUUGGAGUCUGCAACUCGACUCCAUGAAGUCGGAAUCGCUAGUAAUCGUGAAUCAGAAUGUCACGGUGAAUACGUUCCCGGGCCU
This 569-nucleotide ribosomal RNA is filed under the name uncultured Gammaproteobacteria bacterium. RNAcentral describes it as "bacterial SSU rRNA". It matches the Rfam family "Bacterial small subunit ribosomal RNA", at positions 812 to 1381 of the family's 1533-position model. Lineage: Bacteria; Pseudomonadati; Pseudomonadota; Gammaproteobacteria. The record is from RNAcentral.